RNAcentral lists this long non-coding RNA (2058 nucleotides) under Mytilus galloprovincialis (Mediterranean mussel). Lineage: Eukaryota; Metazoa; Mollusca; Bivalvia; Mytilida; Mytilidae. The record is from RNAcentral.
AACCAGAUGCUCCGCAGGGCGCAGCUUUAUACAACUGCAGAGGUUGAACCCUGAACGGUUGGGGCAAGUAUGGACACAACAUUCAAGCUGGAUUCAGCUCUAAAUUUGGAUUGUGAUUAAAUAGUUGACACAGCAUAGGUUUCUGACACAGAAUGAAUGUGGUCUAAGGCCACACCAAUUAAAUUCGACGGACCCGCCCGCACCUAUUUUUUUCAAAACAGAAUUUUUUUAUUUUUUUUAUAUUCCCGCUUCCCGCAUCCGGAAAUGUAAUCAUGUCCAUUUCCCGCAACGUUUUUUUUUGUUAAGUUUGUAAAUAUUAUAAAAAGAUAUCAACAUUUGUUUUUUAUAAUCACAUUCUAACCUGUUUAUAACGAUUUUAAACCUAUAAGCAUCCCAUAACACUGUGUAAGUAUCUGUGAGAAUAUUUGUUUCAGCAUGAAACGUGGGAGUGCUCCGAUAUAAAUACAUAGCAGCGGAAAUACCUGUACAGAACAAAACAUUGGUUUCUUUCCCCCUUACUUAUAUUCCCUAUCAAAAACUGUUCGUUGUUAAAAUAAAGUACAAAGAACUUCUAAUGGAUUUGCCUUCAACUGCAAUUAUAUUGUAUGCUGGCGAAACAAAACUAUACAUAGCCGCUGCAUGUUUAUGUACCUGUCCUGAUUUAUUCAGGGGCCUGUCGUUCAGCAGUUAUCGUUUGUAGAUUUUUGUAUAAAUUAGAUAGUAGGUUUUCCUGUUCGAAUUGUGUACACCAAUAAUUGUGGGGUCCCUAAAAGCUUGCUGUUUGGUCUGGAUCAAAGCCCUGUGUAAAAGGCCGUACUUUGACCUGUGACUGUGUUUGUUAUUAUCAGGUUGUGAACAACCCUCCCUCAGACAACAGGACAAGGGGUAAUGUUACUGUUGUAGAAAAGAAAAUAGAAAUACCAAGGAUUUGUAUAGUGCUACUAUACAAAACCUUUGAAAAUUUAGAUUUUUUUACUCAAAAAGAGGAGAAAUACAUCAUAUUUUAAACAAUUUUUCUAAAAGAGGGGUCCACUUAUUUUGAAUAAUAUUAAAUAAACUGUUUAUAAAGUAAAUGUGUUACAGGGCCGUAACUAGGGAUCGAUUUCAGGGGAGGCAGGGGUUUGGGACCGCCGAUUAAGGCCCCUAGAGAGGGGGGUUUCGGGGUGCAGCCUCCUGCCGAUUUUUUCCCCUCAGUAAAAUGGCUUAAAAUGACCCGUUUUCCUUCGAUUUCGUUACUUUAAGACUCAUCAGUAUUGCUUGAACCUGGAAGCAAUUUUUUUGCAAAAACAAACUGAGAUUGCUGUUCGGGUUGAGCCAAGGCUCCGUCUUGAAGGUCGUACUUUUAACUAUAAUUAUUAACAUUAAAUACAUUGUGACCGCCGAUUUUUUUCUCUCAAUAAAAUGGCGAAAAAAAACACCUGUUUUCCUUCGAUUUCCUUACUUUACGACUCAUCAGUAAUGCUUGAAACUCGGGAGCAAUUUGUUUUGCAAACAAUUAUUAUCUGUAUUUAAAGAUAUUUUUGUUAGAAAUCAAACUGGUAAGUUAAAAAAACAUAUCAAGUAUAAAGAUAAUAGAACGCAAACGGAAUAUUUUUUUUUAUCGAGGACCUUGAAUUUCAAUAUCAUAGUUUGAAAGCUGAAUAGACAUAUAUAGAACUACAACGAAUGGGAGUGUUUAACUACUAAUUAAGGCAUUGAGUCAAUGACCAUAAUGUUCUCGUACGAUCGGGAGACGUACUGUCUGACUAGACACGUGAAAAAAUUAUCCAAAAGCUGAUUCAGUCGGUAACGAAUUUCCGAUAUCAUAAAAGAUUCACAAAAGUCGAUUUGAAAAGCUCACUAGAGCUUGUGUUUAUGUAGUUUAUUGAAUUUCGACUCUAAAUAAAACUUUGAAUCUUGACAAUACAAAAGGAACUUCCUCUGCUUAAUUGAGCCCCUAAAUAUGGUAAAUAAAUGUGAUUAGUUAACUUUUAAUCAAAAUUGCCGAUAACAAAGUUUCAUAUGCGUUCUCGUACGACAUAGGAAAUAUUGAAUAACAGAUGGAUGGCCACACGAAAA